This 410-nucleotide long non-coding RNA is filed under the name Cyanoderma ruficeps (rufous-capped babbler). Its description in RNAcentral is "lncRNA (ENSCRFG00000012904.1)". Lineage: Eukaryota; Metazoa; Chordata; Aves; Passeriformes; Timaliidae. The record is from RNAcentral.
CCGGGAAUUCGCGUGCGGCUGCGGAAGGGCGGGCGACGGGCUGCACCUGCCGGGAGGUGGUCGGUCACUCGCCGCGGCUUUGCCCCUACGCCUAGAGCAGGAAUUAGAGGGCUUUUCUUACAAUAGAAAGAAAAAAUAGACGUUGUCAUCUAAAUUUGCUCUAACAGCUGGUUUUCAUGCCGUAGCAUCGAGAGAGAGUCGUCAAACCCUCAGCAGAACCUUAGUUUCCCACUGGCUGGCACUCCAGACCUGAGUACAGACUCCUUGCUUUUGGGGCAGAAAAGCAGUCUGAGUUGUCUUUCAGUCCUUCUCUAUAAGCAACUUUGAAUCUCCACUGAUGCAUGAAGUCCCAGAGCACCAAGGCAGCAGCACAGACAGUUCUGCAACCAGUUUGGGAAGCUCUAUCACAG